This 349-nucleotide ribosomal RNA is filed under the name Salmonella enterica subsp. arizonae serovar 18:z4,z23:- str. CVM N6509. RNAcentral describes it as "bacterial LSU rRNA". It matches the Rfam family "Bacterial large subunit ribosomal RNA", at positions 561 to 910 of the family's 2925-position model. Lineage: Bacteria; Pseudomonadati; Pseudomonadota; Gammaproteobacteria; Enterobacterales; Enterobacteriaceae. RNAcentral also lists the same sequence under 3 other names. The record is from RNAcentral.
UACGUACAAGCAGUGGGAGCAUGAGUUUACUCAUGUGACUGCGUACCUUUUGUAUAAUGGGUCAGCGACUUAUAUUCUGUAGCAAGGUUAACCGUAUAGGGGAGCCGUAGGGAAACCGAGUCUUAACCGGGCGUUAAGUUGCAGGGUAUAGACCCGAAACCCGGUGAUCUAGCCAUGGGCAGGUUGAAGGUUGGGUAACACUAACUGGAGGACCGAACCGACUAAUGUUGAAAAAUUAGCGGAUGACCUGUGGCUGGGGGUGAAAGGCCAAUCAAACCGGGAGAUAGCUGGUUCUCCCCGAAAGCUAUUUAGGUAGCGCCUCGUGAACUCAUCUCCGGGGGUAGAGCAC